RNAcentral lists this unclassified non-coding RNA (1702 nucleotides) under Portunus trituberculatus (swimming crab). RNAcentral's name for it is "synaptophysin-like, transcript variant X3". The record is from RNAcentral. Lineage: Eukaryota; Metazoa; Arthropoda; Malacostraca; Decapoda; Portunidae.
UGUAUGAAUGUAUGUAUGCAUAUUGGCAGGAACAAUUUGGGCGUCUGGGAGGCUUGGCUGGGAUGGAUUUGGCAGGACAGAGGACACCGCCAUCUAUCGCCAACUUGCAGCAUUUGUUACGUCCUCCCACGAAGUCCCAUCCUCGCUCUACUCAUCCCGGCGGUCACUGUGGUUGUAGUCUGCUUACCACACCCACAGCUGCAACAUUCUCACCUGCCAAUCGAGCCAACAGCAAGUAUGGAGGGUAUACUGGCACAAGCAAAUCUAGGUGUGCUGAAGGAACCAAGAGGCUUCAUCAAGGUUCUAGAGUUUGUGUUCAGCAUCUGUGCAUUUGCUACCACAACAAGCUUCUCAUCAUAUUUCACCCUGCAAGUGUUGUGCACUCCCUCAGAUGAAAAGCCUAGUGAAACUUUCACAGGGCAAAUUACAUAUCCAUUUCAGAUUGACAGGAUUCAGGACACAUUUCCUGCAUGUAAUGCCUCUGAAUGGAAACUGUAUGUGGAGGGAGACUUCUCAUCUGAUGCCAAAUUUUUUGUUGCUGUUGGUGUCCUGGCAUUCCUCUAUGUUCUUGUAGCACUUGGCCUGUACUGCUUCUUCAAUGCUCUUUAUGAAAACAACGACUUAGUCCCCAUAGGGGACUUUGCUCUACAUGUGAUAUUUGCCAUCUUGUGGUUUGCUGCAAGUUGUGCAUGGGCAAACAGCCUCACUGGUCUGCGUAAUGCUGCUGAACUUGAUAAUAUUCUGAAAUAUAAUGAUGUGUGUAAGAAACUCAAAUGUGUUAAAGUGGCAGAAGCUCGCUUUGGCAAACUUAUCAGCUCUGUUAUUUUUGGCUUCCUGAAUGUCUUUAUCUGGGCAAGCAACUUAUGGUUUUUGUACAAGGAAACAAGAUUUUAUAAGGACAGGAAGGCUGGUGAAGCAACUAAUGCCACAAACUGACUUAUUUAAGGAUGAAAGAUUGCUUGGAAAAGUUAGGAAAACCAAACAGUACUUCAAGCAUAGUGAUGUAGUAAAGCUGCAGUGUUUCAGCUUGCUGGAAGGAGCAAGUGCUUAAUGAUGACAUGCAUCACAGAAGACCAACCUUGACUUAAACCUAGUCAUGUCAUUAGCUAUAAGAAUCAAGAAAUAUAUUAUUUCCAAUCCAAUGCUUAGUUAACAAUUAUGACACCCAAUUCCAUGUUGUCCUUAAGUAUUUUGCUUAUCCCCUAUUUGAGAUUUAUGUGAAUAUAUUUUGCCCAAAUCCAUUGAAACAAUUUUCUAUGUGUAUUGCCAAUCCAAAUCUUCUUGUAAUGCUUCAAAGGAGUUAAUAUUUAUAGUUCACUUUAUCAGCUUAGAAGAGUUUGCAAACAUUCAUGUAACUGUGUAGUAUUAUUGUUGCAAAUCUUCAACCAUAGACUAUUAUAUAUAUAGUAGUCUAUGCUUCAACCUUUCCUUUUUCUUUUUGUGAUAUUCUAAAGUCAUUCCUUAUAAUGUACUGAUGCUAUAUGAGGCCUUUUACAGAAGAACAAGCCAACAUCAGAAGAAAUACUCUUGAGUUGUACAAUUUUCAUAAACUCGAUAUUUCAACCAAUAAUGAACAUCUAUAGUCUGACCAGCCUUAAUUUACGGCUGUGGGGGCGAGCGUCUCUGUGCAGUGUUGCCACGUUUUCACUACUGUUGUUCUCUCUCUCUCUCUCUCUCUCUCUCUCUCUCUCUCUCUCUCUCU